Long non-coding RNA from Gambusia affinis (western mosquitofish), 281 nucleotides. RefSeq lists it as uncharacterized. The record is from RefSeq and is a predicted model, not a curated record. Lineage: Eukaryota; Metazoa; Chordata; Actinopteri; Cyprinodontiformes; Poeciliidae. The transcript has 3 exons.
UCCAUUUUUCUGUUGCCUUCAGCAACUGUAGUAUGUUUUAGGAUUAGCUCUGUUUUUCUUUACAAGUAUUAUAUUUUAACAUAUAUUUUAGACAAAUGGAAUCAUACGCAAUGUUUGAUCCACAUCCACCUUUAUGUAACCUCCAGAACCCUGGCAGCCACACACCAUCUAUGGGCAACAGGAGAAACACAGACACAGCCGGGCCACCUCGUCUGGGUCCUUGAUGACGAACUCCCCGUAGUCGCCUUGCCACGCGAUGACAUCAUGAUACUCUUCUUUCC